Molecule: long non-coding RNA, 1723 nt
Organism: Melospiza melodia melodia
Lineage: Eukaryota; Metazoa; Chordata; Aves; Passeriformes; Passerellidae
Exons: 3
Source: RefSeq, a predicted model, not a curated record
CUUGCCCGGGGACUGUCGGGGGUCGCCCGGGCGGUUGGGAACGAGAGGAGCCUGGGCCGGGUCACUGGGCUCGUGCCGGCCGAGGUCGUGUUUUGGGGUCUGCAAGAGCCAGAAAAUGUCUGCAGAGCCCCUGACUCUUUUGUGGAGGUCUAAAGACUCUUUUGGGAAUUCUAAAGGGGAGCGGGAGGAGACUGGAAGGUGAGGGCAGAGUGGCCUGAAGCCCUGUAGUGAAGGGGGACGAGGAGCCAGAGCAUCUGUGGCAUUUCUUUAGUCUUCAGUAAAGAUCUUCAGUGAGUUACCAACCAUGGGAGUCAGGAUAUGAGCAGCCUCCAAAGUCUGUAAAGAUUUGUGUGUGAGGUUGAGAGGAGUCACCUUGUGUAUCUCAUUAUCUUACCCUGGCUGGAAUAUCUGCUAGGAGGCAGAAGAGCCCUCCCAGGCACAUCACCUGCUGAAUUUAACAAACACAUGUGAAUAACAAAGAUGGACCAGAAAUAUUGUCACUUCUAAAAGCAUUCUUUUAUACUAACUAUAGUAAAAAUAGCCAUAUAUAAAAGGGAAUCUUUGGACAGUGCUGUUUCAAUAGAGGCCUUCAAAAAAAACCCAUUCCUAUGUGAUGGAAGAGAAAUGCUCAAAAAUCCCUUCAGGAAUACCUACAAUUCCUUAUGGAUACCUAAUGAAAAUAUAUUAGAAUUGAGCAAGUAGCAAAAAAAGCUUGAUGAACUGACUGUAACAAAAUAUCCAGUGAUGAAAAGUUCUGCAGACUUUUCUUACCAGCUCUGGCAAGUAAGUAGUUUUGCUAAAUAGAAGGAAAGCAGAAGAUACAGCUAUCAACUGCAAACGAAUGAUUAUAAACCAGAAAGAAAAUGUGAGGAAGAGCUCUGAAAAUUAUGAUUGACAGUGACAACACAGACCAGACAGCUUUUAUUUUAAGCAACAGAUUGUUGGGAACAUACACCGUAUAUCAAAGUGAAGGACUUGAAACCUGCUGUAGUCUGUACAGAUGUUCUCACUCAGAAAGCAGCUAGAGGGAACAGAAGAUAAAAGAAGGCUGUACAACUUCAAAAAAGGUUUGAAUUUUCAUUCUGUUUUGACAAGUUUUUAUGCUACUCUCUGAUUUUCAGUGUGGUAGAAAAUUCAGCAUCUACAAACCUGACCUAAAGUGAGAAACACCUGAAGGGGUACGAGCAAACCCUUAAGAAGGUGCUAUACAACAUCAUGAAAUAGUUUUUGUUGUUUUACUCUUAAAUGCUUUUAUACAAAAAUUGGAAAUGCUGUAAUUGUUGUAGCUCUGGAGCAGGUCAUACAUGCUUGCAGUCAGCAGUACCUGGAAUGCAAGGCUGAGAUCUAAGAGGCCAUUUAGGAAUCCCUGCUGCAGAAAAUACUUUUUUAUGAUACAAAGCAAGGCAGGAUUACUGAGCUCAGAGGGGUUAUUUGUGAAUAACUUCCAGCUAAAGUGAUUAAGGGCUUCAGCCACUAGCCCCAGAAAAAGCCAACAAAGAGCAUCAAAAACAUCCUGCAUGUCAUUGCUGCUGGCUUUUUGUUCAAUGAGCAAGAGGUCUGUGUUGGUUUUGGUCCUUUGCCCUUGGGGGCACUUUUAACAAAACAUAAUACUUGAAAGAAUUCCAAAAUGUGUUUGUUUUUUUGUUUUUUUUUUUUUUCUUAUUUUCUUUGAACUAGAAGGUUAAAGAUAAAUAAAGGAGUAUUUUGAUAUGUCUGACAAAUA